This 456-nucleotide ribosomal RNA is filed under the name uncultured bacterium. Its description in RNAcentral is "bacterial SSU rRNA". It matches the Rfam family "Bacterial small subunit ribosomal RNA", at positions 30 to 492 of the family's 1533-position model. The record is from RNAcentral.
AUUGAACGCUGGCGGCAGGCCUAACACAUGCAAGUCGAGCGGGGUUUUCGGACCUAGCGGCGGACGGGUGAGUAAUGCGUAGGAAGCUACCCGAUAGAGGGGGAUACCAGUUGGAAACGACUGUUAAUACCGCAUAAUGUCUACGGACCAAAGUGUGGGACCUUCGGGCCACAUGCUAUCGGAUGCGCCUACGUGGGAUUAGCUAGUUGGUGGGGUAAUGGCUCACCAAGGCGACGAUCCCUAGCUGGUUUGAGAGGAUGAUCAGCCACACUGGAACUGAGACACGGUCCAGACUCCUACGGGAGGCAGCAGUGGGGAAUAUUGGACAAUGGGCGCAAGCCUGAUCCAGCCAUGCCGCGUGUGUGAAGAAGGCCUCGGUGUAAGCACUUCUAGCGAGGAGGAAGAGUAGUAGUAAUAGACUGCUAAUUUUAGUACGUUACUACGUCAGAAGAAGAC